UACGUAGGGGGCAAGCGUUGUCCGGAAUGAUUGGGCGUAAAGGGCGCGUAGGCGGCCUGUUAAGUCUGGAGUGAAAGUCCUGCUUUUAAGGUGGGAAUUGCUUUGGAUACUGAGAGGCUUGAGUGCAGGAGAGGUUAGUGGAAUUCCCAGUGUAGCGGUGAAAUGCGUAGAGAUUGGGAGGAACACCAGUGGCGAAGGCGACUAACUGGACUGUAACUGACGCUGAGGCGCGAAAGUGUGGGGAGCAAACAGG
Molecule: ribosomal RNA, 253 nt
Filed under: uncultured bacterium
Lineage: Bacteria
Description: partial 16S ribosomal RNA
Rfam family: Bacterial small subunit ribosomal RNA
Source: RNAcentral